This 306-nucleotide ribosomal RNA is filed under the name uncultured bacterium. RNAcentral describes it as "bacterial SSU rRNA". It matches the Rfam family "Bacterial small subunit ribosomal RNA", at positions 28 to 334 of the family's 1533-position model. The record is from RNAcentral.
GACGAACGCUGGCGGCGUGCUUAACACAUGCAAGUCGAGCGGUAAGGCCCUUUCGGGGGUACACGAGCGGCGAACGGGUGAGUAACACGUGAGUAAUCUGCCCUUCACUUCGGGAUAACUACCGGAAACGGUGGCUAAUACCGGAUAUGACCACUUCAUGCAUGUGAUGGUGGUGGAAAGUGUUUAGCGGUGGGGGAUGUGCUCGCGGCCUAUCAGCUUGUUGGUGAGGUAAUGGCUCACCAAGGCUUCGACGGGUAGCCGGCCUGAGAGGGUGACCGGCCACACUGGGACUGAGACACGGCCCAG